This 468-nucleotide ribosomal RNA is filed under the name uncultured bacterium. Its description in RNAcentral is "partial 16S ribosomal RNA". It matches the Rfam family "Bacterial small subunit ribosomal RNA", at positions 28 to 507 of the family's 1533-position model. The record is from RNAcentral.
GACGAACGCUGUCGGCGUGCUUAACACAUGCAAGUCGAACGGAAAGGCCCUGCUUUUGUGGGGUGCUCGAUUGGCGAACGGGUGAGUAACACGUGAGUAACCUGCCCUUGACUUUGGGAUAACUUCAGGAAACUGGGGCUAAUACCGGAUAGGAGCUCCUGCUGCAUGGUGGGGGUUGGAAAGUUUCGGCGGUUGGGGAUGUACUCGCGGCUUAUCAGCUUGUUGGUUGGGUAGUGUCUUACCAAGGCUUUGACGGGUAGCAGGCCUGAGAGGGUGACCGGCCAAAUUAGAACGGAAAUACGGCACGGACUGCUACGGGAGGCAGCAGUGGGGAAUAUUACACAAUGGGCGGAAGCAUGAUGCAGCAACGCAGCGAGCGGGAUGACGGCCUUCGGGUUGUGAACCGCUUUCGCCUGUGACGAGACGUGAGUGACGGUAAUGGGUAAAGAAGCACCGGCUAACUAAGUG